Molecule: ribosomal RNA, 377 nt
Filed under: uncultured Chloroflexota bacterium
Lineage: Bacteria; Bacillati; Chloroflexota
Description: bacterial SSU rRNA
Rfam family: Bacterial small subunit ribosomal RNA
Source: RNAcentral
GUAGGAACUCGAAAGAGGGACGACCUGUAUCCAGUCAGGAGUUUGCACAGGUGCUGCAUGGCUGUCGUCAGCUCGUGCCGUGAGGUGUUAGGUUAAGUCCUGCAACGAGCGCAACCCUCGUCGCUAGUUGUUUUCUCUAGCGAUACUGCCCGUAUAACGUGGAGGAAGGUGGGGAUGACGUCAAGUCAGCAUGGCCCUUACAUCCUGGGCUACACACACGCUACAAUGGGUGAUACAACAGGUUGCAAUAGAGUAAUCUGGAGCCAAUCCCUAAAAUCAUCCUCAGUACGGAUUGCAGGCUGCAACUGCCUGCAUGAAGUUGGAGUUGCUAGUAAACGCAGGUCAGCACACUGCGUUGAACUACGUUCUCGGGCCUU